CAUGCCGUAAACGAUGAAUGCUAAGUGUUAGGGGGUUUCCGCCCCUUAGUGCUGCAGCUAACGCAUUAAGCACUCCGCCUGGGGAGUACGACCGCAAGGUUGAAACUCAAAGGAAUUGACGGGGGCCCGCACAAGCGGGGGAGCAUGUGGUUUAAUUCGAAGCAACGCGAAGAACCUUACCAGGUCUUGACAUCCCGAUGACCCCUCUAGAGAUAGAGUUUUCCCUUCGGGGACAUUGGUGACAGGUGG
This 249-nucleotide ribosomal RNA is filed under the name uncultured bacterium. Its description in RNAcentral is "partial 16S ribosomal RNA". It matches the Rfam family "Bacterial small subunit ribosomal RNA", at positions 796 to 1041 of the family's 1533-position model. The record is from RNAcentral.